This 391-nucleotide unclassified non-coding RNA is filed under the name soil metagenome. RNAcentral's name for it is "partial contains 5.8S ribosomal RNA, internal transcribed spacer 2, and large subunit ribosomal RNA". The stretch from base 1 to 122 matches the Rfam family "5.8S ribosomal RNA", at positions 35 to 154 of the family's 154-position model. The record is from RNAcentral.
GAUGAAGAACGCAGCGAAAUGCGAUACUUGGUGUGAAUUGCAGAAUCCCGUGAACCAUCGAGUCUUUGAACGCAAGUUGCGCCUGAAGCCAUUAGGCUGAAGGCACGCCUGCCUGGGCGUCACACGUCGUUGCCCCCCCAUCUACUCCUUCGGGAUUGCGGGGGGCGGAUGAUGGCCUCCCGUGCGCCUCGCCGCGCGGUUGGCAUAAAUGCCAAGUCCUCGGCGACGCACGCCACGACAAUCGGUGGUUGCGAAACCUCGGUUGCCCGUCGUGUGCGGUCGUCGCGCAUCGAGGGCUCGAAAAAAUUGCCGGGUUCCGGCUCGGCUUUCAACGCGACCCCAGGUCAGGCGGGGUUACCCGCUGAAUUUAAGCAUAUCAAUAAGCGGAGGA